This 523-nucleotide ribosomal RNA is filed under the name uncultured bacterium. RNAcentral's name for it is "partial 16S ribosomal RNA". It matches the Rfam family "Bacterial small subunit ribosomal RNA", at positions 28 to 523 of the family's 1533-position model. The record is from RNAcentral.
GACGAACGCUGGCGGCGUGCCUGAUACAUGCAAGUCGAACGCUUUUUCUUUCACCGGAGCUUGCUCCACCGAAAGAAAAAGAGUGGCGAACGGGUGAGUAACACGUGGGUAACCUGCCCUUCAGAAGGGGAUAACACUUGGAAACAGGUGCUAAUACCGUAUAACACUAUUUUCCGCAUGGAAGAAAGUUGAAAGGCGCUUUUGCGUCACUGAUGGAUGGACCGGGGGUGCAUUAGCUAGUUGGUGAGGUAACGGCUCACCAAGGCAACGAUGCAUAGCCGACCUGAGAGGGUGAUCGGCCACACUGGGACUGAGACACGGCCCAGACUCCUACGGGAGGUAGCAGUAGGGAAUCUUCGGCAAUGGACGAAAGUCUGACCGAGCAACGCCGCGUGAGUGAAGAAGGUUUUCGGAUCGUAAAACUCUGUUGUUAGAGAGGAACAAGGAAGAGAGUAAAACGUUCAUCCCUUGACGGUAUCUAACCAGAAAGCCACGGCUAACUACGUGCCAGCCGCCGCGGUAA